RNAcentral lists this ribosomal RNA (582 nucleotides) under Triticum aestivum (bread wheat). RNAcentral describes it as "partial small subunit ribosomal RNA". The record is from RNAcentral. Lineage: Eukaryota; Viridiplantae; Streptophyta; Magnoliopsida; Poales; Poaceae.
AUGGAAGUAUUGCAUUGUAACUUAUUCCGCAGUUUGACUUCAACAUUUUUGUCCAGUAAUAGGAGUUUCUUUAUACCUUUCAUUCAGAUAGUUGGUGUUUGCAAAGUUUAUGGGGGCCUCAACUGUCAAUAUCAAGAACCCAGGAACUCUUUGGGCCUCCUUAUACUGAUGGAGGUUCCGGUAAAUAUCUGUUCCCUUGAUAUUGCCCUGAAUCAUCAUCCUUGGCCUCGUGAUUUGCAUCAAUACCCUAAAUAUCGAUAUACCAACCUGCAUGCGAGGCCUUCUUGGACCGAGAUGAAGAUGACACCAGCAAAUGCGCACAGACACACGAGGAAAUCCAUCUUGUCCAUCUUCCAGAUGUUGUACGCAGCAGGGAGAUCGAUCAGGCCAAUGACGGCAGCGAUGAUGAUUGCUCCAAGGACAACAUUCGGCGUGUAUACGAACAAUGGCAUGAGGAACAGCAGCGUGACCAUGACCGUCAGCGCCAUGACCACAUUGGACAUGGCGGUCUUGCAGCCGGCAUUGUGGUUCACAGCAGAGCGAGAGAAUGCUCCUGUUAGAAACAUAGCACGAUGUACAUGA